GUAAUACCCCGUUUCCUCGAGCUAAAUUUAAAAUUUAUUUUCGAACUUAGAAGUAAGAUGAUUCACGCCGGAUAUAAAGAAAAUGAAUUUAUUUUUAAUUCCAACAAAAAUAAUGUACAAAAACAUUUGUAAAUUUAGUUAUUGAAUUAAUAUGCAUUGCAUAUUUAUUUAAUUUAACAUUUAGCAUCUACACGAGCUAUUUGUUUAAACGAACACUGAACGAUUAUUACAGUUUUCAUAGUACAAACCGGAAGACUUUUUAUUAUAUUUUUAUUUCACUUUCACUCACACUUUUCACUCUCCCCACUCACACUUUUCACUCCCACCCACUCACACUUUUCACUUCCACUCACCCUUUCCACUCUCCCCACUCACACGAUACCUUGCCCCCCUUUCCCUUCCACUCACCAUUUCUCCUACAUACCAAGGAACUAAGUGCGGAGCUACACCCACAGAAGUUCAGCUAUACCACACGGACUCCACAAACUCAGCUGAAAGCUCUAAAGACUUCAUCUACAAAUCACUCUGCCCAUUUUACCUCCAUUCACGGCUUUGAGCAUCAGAAGGAUUAGCACUGCUAUUCCGAUUCAGAGAUAAGGUUAAACGACAGGCUUUGCCUAUUCAGGUGGGCAUUACUUUCAUAUAUAUCAAAUGAGUUUAAAUGUUACGUUCAAGCAAGUUAUUUCAUGACUAAAUUAAUUGAAGUUAUUUCAAAUAUUGUCUUGCCAUAAAAUAUUUAAAUUUCAGUAUGAUAUCUAUCUGAUGUGACUUUUAUUAUGCAAUCGAAUUCGGGUCCUGAGCAGUUGAUAGCUAUCCUGCCAGGGCUAGUGUACACCAGUGACCGUGAGUCAUCUAGCGGGUUGGCCGGUCAAGUGACCGUGAGAGGUGGCCACCUCUCCGGCACAAAGUUCCAGAUAUGAUAGAUUACAAGAGAACUUAGACUGCAGUCGAACUUUAAGAAUCACAAAUGAAUUUAGUAAGCUUGGGCCUUUUAGCGAAAAACUCCCUUGCUGUACUGUUUAAUUAUGGCAUGACAAUUUACAGUUUUGAAGCAUGUAUUUUAUACUUAGGCAUACGUGCCCACUGAGUACUUUUGUACUCAAGCCCUGCAUAUAUUUCUAAAUGUGCAGGUUGAGCAGCUGCCGAUGGUGAUGAAGUGACGAGCGGGAUUCUUUUGUCUUAUUAUGUAUUAAUGAACUCUAGGGUUACAUGUCUUCAUACAUGUAAUCAGAAUCAUAUUCCGCUGCGUACUCAGAAGUUUUAUGUUUAUUUGGCUAAGUCAGAGAUAUCUGAACUUACUAGUUAUUUGAGUCUAUACGACUAAACUUCUGUUAUAUUAUAAAUAUUCCUUUUAUUAAAUGAUGAAAUGUGAUCC
Long non-coding RNA from Salvia miltiorrhiza (redroot sage), 1375 nucleotides. RefSeq lists it as uncharacterized. The transcript has 2 exons. Lineage: Eukaryota; Viridiplantae; Streptophyta; Magnoliopsida; Lamiales; Lamiaceae. The record is from RefSeq and is a predicted model, not a curated record.